Molecule: ribosomal RNA, 431 nt
Filed under: uncultured bacterium
Lineage: Bacteria
Description: partial 16S ribosomal RNA
Rfam family: Bacterial small subunit ribosomal RNA
Source: RNAcentral
AACGAACGCUGGCGGCAGGCUUAACACAUGCCAGUCGAGCGCCCCGCCAGGGGAGCGGCAGACGGGUGAGUAACGCGUGGGAACGUACCUUUUGGUUCGGAACAACUCCGGGAAACUGGAGCUAAUACCGGAUAAGCCCUAACGGGGAAAGAUUUAUCGCCGAAAGAUCGGCCCGCGUCUGAUUAGCUAGUUGGUGAGGUAACGGCUCACCAAGGCGACGAUCAGUAGCUGGUCUGAGAGGAUGAUCAGCCACACUGGGACUGAGACACGUCCCAGACUCCUACGGGAGGCAGCAGUGGGGAAUAUUGGACAAUGGGCGCAAGCCUGAUCCAGCCAUGCCGCGUGAGUGAUGAAGGCCUUAGGGUUGUAAAGCUCUUUUGUCCGGGAAGAUAAUGACUGUACCGGAAGAAUAAGCCCCGGCUAACUUCGUG